This 440-nucleotide ribosomal RNA is filed under the name uncultured bacterium. RNAcentral's name for it is "partial 16S ribosomal RNA". It matches the Rfam family "Bacterial small subunit ribosomal RNA", at positions 338 to 795 of the family's 1533-position model. The record is from RNAcentral.
CCUACGGGGGGCAGCAGUGGGGAAUAUUGCACAAUGGGGGAAACCCUGAUGCAGCGACGCCGCGUGAGGGAAGAAGGAAUUCGUUAUGUAAAGCUCUAUCGUCAGGGAAGAAAAUGACGGUACCUGAGGAAGAAGCACCGGCUAACUACGUGCCAGCAGCCGCGGUAAUACGUAGGGGGCAAGCGUUAUCCGGAUUUACUGGGCGUAAAGGGAGCGUAGACGGCAGUGCAAGUCUGAUGUGAAAUGCGGGGGCUUAACCACCGGACUGCGUGUGAAACUGUACGGCUGGAGUGCGGGAGAGGUAAGUGGAAUUCCUAGUGUAGCGGUAAAAUCCGUAGAGAUUAGGAGGAAUACCAGUGGCGAAGGCGGCUUACUGGACUGUAACUGACGUUGAGGCUCGAAAGCGUGGGGAGCAAACAGGAUUAGAUACCCUGGUAGUC